Molecule: long non-coding RNA, 1882 nt
Filed under: Homo sapiens (human)
Lineage: Eukaryota; Metazoa; Chordata; Mammalia; Primates; Hominidae
Description: HSALNT0299738
Source: RNAcentral
CUUUUGUAAAUUGUCCAGUCUUGGGUAUGUCUUUAUCAGCAGCAUGAAAACAGACUAAUACAGUUUCUACAUGCAUUUAUUUAACACUUAACUAAUUUUCUCACUUGGUCUUCAUGAAACAGGUGUCUUUGAAUUGAGGAGAGGAGAAAGAAGAGGAAUGAUUUUUUAAAAACCAUAAAACAGAGGUUACCCAGUGCCUUCAAGACUAAACUUUAUUAUAGUUUCCACAGCAAGUAGCUGGAGAAAGUGCAACCAAGGCUGCAAAGUGGACAGCCGUGCAGUGCGCAGGGUGCGGGAAGGCAGAGGGGUGGCCCCGUGGCCCCUCAGCCCAGGAGUCUCGAGCCAGUGGCUCUUGGGGCUGUGGGUUGAAAACAGGCCAGCAGCUUCUAGCACGUCCCUCGCGGUGUUCUUCACCUUCUCCCAAGAAUGCAUCCCUCGCAAUGCUCUCUCGUGUUCUCUUGAGGAUACGCGGCUUUUGGCCAUGGCAGCAGUCAGAGCUGUCAGCCCACACAAAAGAGGAAAGUCUGAGGCUUUAGUUUGAUGAACACAUUUAUAUGAUGGGACGAACAUCAGAGCCCGCAGCUCUCGGCCCUGCUGGUGGCAGAGGCUUUGUACUGUGUGACAAUGACCUGGAUAUGGAAGCAGAAGGGAGCUUCUAAGGACCGGAAGCUGAGAGUCUGUCUCCUGUCCCGGCCCGGACACUGGGGUUCAGGGAAGUGUGCUCUGCCCCCUGUGUGGAUGCCUGUGUCCUGUGUGUGGCUGGAGUAGGACUUGGCUUGUGGGUGAUCACAGAGACGGAGACUGAGAAGCAGAUCGAUCCUAGCUUUGCUACUGACAAAAAGCAUGGGAACCAGAGCCUCAGUGUCUGCAGGAGUUGCUGGCUGUUUCCUGAUGCAGUUGGAGCAGAAUGGGAUGUCCUGGGACAACAGAGAUGUUUACCCAUCUUGACUAGUGUGGUCAUCUGAAGAAUGGCCUCCAAAGACAUCCUGAGAACCUGGGAAUGUUGCAUGGAUGAAGGAAUUUGCAAAAGUGAUUAAGUUAAGGAGCUUGAAAUUUGUGGAUCAUGCUGGGUUACCCCAGUGAGCUCUAAAUGUAAUCACAUGUGUCUUUAUGAAAGGGAGGCAGAGGGAGAUUUGCAGACAGAUGAGGAGGAAGAUGAGAAAACAAUGGACACAAGAAAGAAAAGGUGAUGCAGUUCAGGGACCCAAGCCAAUAAAUGAGGUGACCUCCAGAUGCUGGAGAAGGGAAGGAAGCAGAUGGACUCUAGAGCCCCCAAAAGAAGCAGGGCUCUGCCAUCACCUUGAUUUUGUCCCAAUGAAACCCAUUGGUCAUUUAGCUGCCAGAACUGUGUAAGCAUAAAUGUGUGUUCGUUUAAGCCAUGAAAUUUGCAGUAAUUUGUUAAAGCUGCCAUGGGAAACUAACACAACUGGAGUGGUAGUUCCGUGAAUGCAUGCAUUCACCAAACCUUAACAUGUACUCUUCGGAUACUGGCAUGAUAGGUCCAUGAAUGCAUAUGUUCACCCACACACUAAUAUAUACCCUUCAAAUACUGGUAUGAUAGUUCUAUGAAUGCAUGUGUUCACCACACACUAACAUGUACCCUUCAGAUACGGGCAUGGUAGUGCCCUGAAUACACGUGUUCACCAAACCCCAACAUGUACCCUUCAGAUACUGGCAUGAUAGUUCCAUGAAUCCAUGUGUUCACCAAAUCCCAACAUGUACUCUUCAGAUAUGGACAUGGUAGUUCCAUGAAUACAUGUUUUCACCAAAAACCAACAUGUACCCUUCAGAUACUGGUAUGAUAGUUCCAUGAAUGCAUAUGUUCACCAAACUAAAAUAUGUACCUGAUAUGGUUUGGCUGUGUCCCCACCCAAAUCUCAUC